Molecule: long non-coding RNA, 413 nt
Organism: Hibiscus syriacus
Lineage: Eukaryota; Viridiplantae; Streptophyta; Magnoliopsida; Malvales; Malvaceae
Exons: 2
Source: RefSeq, a predicted model, not a curated record
CCCUAAUCACCGCCUCUCCCGUUUUUGUCGUAUCCGCUGCUGAAUAAGGAGAAAUCGAAUCGAGAAUUGACCGUAUCCUCCGUUGUUAUCCGUAAAUUUUAAAUCGACCCGUGUUAUUCGAAUUAGCUGAAUUGAUUCAGGUUGAUCUAUUGGUUGAGCUGAUCUUGAGAGGCGUCAUGAACGUCGUUAGUUAUUUUGUCGAGGUAUAUCUCGAUCCGGGUAAAUGUCACUUCGGAUUCAAUGACCUCAUGCUUUUGUGACGGACCCUACUUCGGAUGUUGUUAAUAGCAUAUGGGUUCUGAGGAACCUACUCCUCGAACUAUGUAAGGCGAAUUGGUGCAUAUUUAUUUGCAUUUCAUUCCAACCAUGAAUAUUACGACUCAGACUGUGAAUAUGUUUAUUUUUUGAAUUUA